GCCAAUCACAAUGUGGUUGCCGUGGCGACAGCUUGGCGCGAAGGCAGGAGGUUGACGUCAACUGAGCCAACGCGAGGGGCCCUGAGGAAGGGUCUGGAAAAGGGGGGGGGGCGGUGUGCGACCCCCAAACAAAGAAGGGGGUGAUGUGGAGAAAGGCCCUGUAACGACUCCCAAGUGCAAAAUCUCUGAAGAAAAAGAAAAAAACACCCAUACAAUUUGUGUAAAAAACCGAAAAUCAGCGGGCACAAACAUGUAUGUUGAAGUCUGUAGACAAACGAGAAAGUGGGAGACCAGACUUUCCUGAGACACACGAAAGACCCGAGACUAGCCUCCUAGUAAACGGAGAGCCCUCGAAAAGCGACGAGGUAAAGACCAAACCAAGCCCCCAAACGCGCAAUUCACGGGAAAUACAAAUGGCUGACAGACCUACGGGGCAAAAAUUGCGACCCGACUCGCAAAGAAACCCACGGAAAACCGAGAGUCCGGACGCGCGCGGUUCAGGGGCUCUCUGCUCAGGCAGGGCCGCGCCGGCUCCCACCGCGGUCCGCACGGACCUCGACCUCGGCCGCGCUGCGGAGAGCGGGGCUGCGGCGCGGGAGGAGACCCGGGAGCCGCGGGAACGACGGACCAAAGGCGCGACAGAGUAGGCGAAGUUGUGGAGAUGACCGCUUGUUUUUUGUUCUUGGAAGUCUCGCAGCGCCUCACCCAGCACGGAGUCUGGUGCACAGCAGAUCCUGUUUGUGGGGUGCAAAUGUGGGGCUCCCACUCCUGUUCCUCCGACUGUUUAAGGCAGCGGCCGUGGUGGUGGAUACCCGUCAUGGAGCCUGGCACACAGUGUGUCAUUGGCCUCAGGGAAGAGCCCGGGACAGAGAGAAUCUGGGGCAGGGUCCUGGCAAGACAGCCCGCAUGUACAUCCCUUCCGGGGCCUCCCAUGUCCCGUACGGGUUGCCACGAGGACCAUGGGAACCGAGGAAGGGUAAUUUUAUGUUCACUCCUGGAAAUGACAGUGAGAGAGCCUCCAGGUUGAGGGAGCAGCCAUGCAAAGGCCCUGAGCAUGCCCCCCACCGGACCCCGUCAUGGAGCAGCAGCCACAUGGCCCAAGCGGAAGGCGCCUCCUCACCAGCCAGCACCCCGUUUGCACGUCACUUGCCCGGAUCUCGGAAGAAGGUACAGAUUUGAACUGAGGCGUCAGCUCAGCCCUCAGAAGAAGCUGUUGUCCCUGAAUUGCCACCCUGGGUCUCAACUGGGGUGCUUGUGCCCCGCCCCCGCGCCAGGAAACACUAGAGACGCUGUGGGUUGUCACGACCGGGUGGGGGGUGUCGCUGCUGGCAUCUGGCGGGUAUAGACCCGGGCGGGGCAGGGGGAAGACUGCUCCGUGUCCUGCACUGCACAGCGCAGCUCCCAUAGCAGAGGACGACCCAGCUCAGAGCAGCCAGGCUGAGCGCCUCUGAGCAGCUUUGUCACAAUUCUCUGCUGCUCCAGAUUCUGCCUUCUUUCCCUCUAUUGUGUGUGUGUGAGUGUGAGUGUGUGUGCACCUACACUGUCUGAAUAUACCUUCCACGGUCUGUAUGUAUCCCAGCUGUGUGCCCUCAGGCCAGCUCCUCAACCUCUCUGGGCCAGGGUCACCUCAUCUUUAAAUUGGGUCUCCUCAAAGCACCCGCCCCUCGUGGUUGUUGGGAAAUGCAGUCAGUACGUCUCCAAACACAGUCACGUGCUGAGGUCCUGGGGUUAGGGCUUCAGCACGUGACUUUGGGGAGAUGCAGCUGGGCCUUGACAGCACAGCACCCAGGUGGGCAGGGAGCUGUGAGAGGAGGCGGAGGGCUUGGUAGGGCCCCACGUGUUUGAGGCCACGGUCCGUGUCUCGGCCGGCACCCUGAGUAUGGGAGACCUCCCCCCCCCAAGGACAGUGGGCACAGGACAGCCAUCCGAGCAGGGUGGGGCCCUGGGGCUGGAUGGGGGCCCGAGAGGCCCCAGGGAAAUCCAGGCAGGGCAGCUGGGCGUGGCUGGGGUCCGCGGGGUGGACGGGCCCAGGCCAAGAGGACUGAAGUCUGCCUCCAAGUCUCCAGGCUUGGAGGUACUGGCUGCUGGCUUCUUCCACCUUCCCAUCGAGACGAGACCGAAACCCUGCCUGUCCUCUCUGCCCCUCUGCCCCCCAGAGCGGGGACCGCCUGUGGCCACCAGCCUUGCGCUUUCUCAGGCUCUGCCCACUGGGCACACUUCUUAACAGCUGGACAGGUUUUAAAGCAAUUCCAUGAUGUUCUCACUCGCUCUUUUUUAGCUUAAAAAAAAAAAGUCUGCUGUAGAAACGUCAUUUUUAUUUUUAUUUAUUUUUUGUCUUUUUGCCUUUUCUAGGGCCACUCCCAUGGCAUAUAGAGGUUCCCAGGCUAGGGGUCUAAUCAGAGCCGUAGCCACCGGCCUACGCCAGAGCCACAGCAACGCGGGAUCCCAGCUGCGUCUGCGACCUACACCCCAGCUCAUGGUGACGCUGGAUCCUUAACCCACUGAGCAAGGCCAGGGAUCAAACCUGCCACCUCAUGGUUCCUAGUCAGAUUCGUUAACCACUGCGCCGUGACGGGAACUCCUGCUGUAGAAACUUUAAAAAAUACAUGUAAAGAUAAAUAAAAACUUGGAGUUCCCAUUGUGGUACAGCGGAAACGAAUCGGACUAGGAACCUCGAGAUUGCAGGUUUGAUCCCUGGCUCGCUCAGUGGGUUAAGGAUCCAGCAUUGCCGUGAGCUGUGGUGUAGGUCGCAGAAGCGGCUCAGAUUUUUUUUUUUUUUUUUUUUGGUUUGUUUUUGUUUGUUUCUCCUUCACCACCCCCCUCUUGAAAAAUUCAGAUAUAGUUGAUUUACAAUAUUAUAUAUAUUUCAGGGGUACGUAGCGAUCCGCAUUUUUAAAGGUUAUACUCCAUUGCUAGUUAUUAUGAAAUAUCGGCUAAAAUAGUCCCUGAGCUGUACCUUAUAUCCUUCAUUUAUUUAACACACAGCACUUUGCACCUCUUAAUCCCCUACCUCAUCUCCCCCCACCCCCUGCCACUGGCAACCCCUAGUUUGUUCUGAAUAUCUGUGAGCCUGUUUCUUUUUGGUUACAUUCGUGCGUUCGUGCCACAUUUCAGAUUCCGCAUAUGAGUGAUACCAUACAGUGUGUGUCUUUCCGCGCCUUGUUUCGGUAAAUCCAUGCUAUGCCCAUGACGCCCUCUGCUGGCCAUUCUCUUCAGUGCAUGGCAGUGGUUUCUCCUGAGUCAUCCCUCCCAAAGGGAGGCCUGGGGGGGGGCUCUGGACCCGGUGCGAAGUGGCUGGUGAGACGGGGCCUGUGCUGUAAAGUGUGACACACACCGAAUCUUAAGCACUGUUUGAGGAGAAGAAUGUUAAUGCUUUACACGGAUGAUGUGCGAUGACACGUGAUGGCGUUCUGAACACGGGUGGGCCCAGGAACAAGGCGGGGGGUGGGGGUGCCGACCCUCGGUGCCGUGGAAAAUCUGAGCAUGACUUAGAGUCAGCCCUCCGGAGCCACAGUUUCUCCAUCUCUGCAGUUGUGCGCCUAUGAAUGCAGCCAAGGGCAGGCAGAUCAGGUCAUACUGCAGUCUUUACUACUGAAGAAAAGCUGCAUGGUCACCUCCGUUGGGUUAAAGACCAAGGCUUAAAGCUCAUUUCACCUGUUUCUUAUUUUUUUAAUGAGGACACUAGGAAUGUUAAGUUAUGCCUGUGGCUCAUGUUCUGUUUAUUUCUCAUGGAUCUGGACUCUUAUAAAUGUAUAUCUUUCAGCCUCCAUGCUAUGGACACUUGUCGUCAGGUCACUUUGCUGGGGGGGGGGGCAGUCCUGUGCAUUGUAGGAUAUUGAGCAGGAUCCCUGAUCUAGAGAUGCCAGUAGCAGCCCCCUCCCAGUGGGAUAACCAAAAAUGUCUCCCCCUCCCAAAAAAAAGGAGUUCCCUCGUGGCUCAGCAUGUUAAGGGUCUAGCAUUGUCACUGCUGUGGCUCUGCCCACUGCUGUGGCUUGGGUUCAGUCCCUGGUCUUGGACCUUCUGCAUGCCGUGGGUGAAACCGAAAAACAAACCGAAAAAAGUCUCCAAACAUUGACAAAUUGUCCCAUAAGGGGCAAAAUCCCCCUCGGUUGAGAACCAGUGAUUUAUAUAAUAUAUAUAAAGCUAUCUAUAUUUUGUAUAUAUAUAUAUAUUGAUUUUAUAUGCAUGCAAUAUAAACAAUACAGCUGACCCUUGAACAACAUGGGUUUGAACUGAGUAGGUCCACUUACCCUCAGAUGUUUUUGAGCCGUAAAUACUGCAGGACUACACAAUGCGAGACUGACCGAGUAAAUGCAGGGCUGACUGGACUGCAUGGCGUGUCCGCACCCCACCCCCACGGUGUUCCAGGGCGAGCUGCGCAUUGACUAUGAAUUAUUUGCUGCACUGUUGAAAUGCGUGUCUGUGUGUGUGUGUGUGUGUGUGUGUGUGGUGAACCACAUCCCUGAACUCGGCCCACACAGGACCCCGCUGCGUGCAAGCUCUGUGUUCACUGCCUCACUCGAGUUUCCCUCUCGGCCCUCACGGUGCCCUCUGGGAUGGAUGGUAUUAUUCGCCUCAUUUGGCAGAGGAGGCAGGUGAGGGAGGGCCCCAGGCUGAGCAGCCACCUGGCCUGGACUGAAACCCAGGCGGCGUCUCAUCGGUAAGAGCGCCCCCCACCCACGGGCCGGCCUGGAGGAUCCUGGGACCUCGCGCAGCGCACAGCAGUGUGACCGUGGUUACACACCGCACUGGGUACCUGAGCCCUGCUCAGAGGGUAAAUCGCAAGUGUUCGUAGCACACACGCACCCAGCCGCACACGCACACACUCGGGGCGGGGGGGGGAGGAAAAAGAAGGCGAUGGCUGACGGCCUUGACUGUGAGGGUUGUUUCACAGCGUAGACUCACGGAAAUCAUCGUGUUGAAUGGCUCACAUGUAUCCCACCUUUAUGUGUCACUUAGACACCAAUGAAGCUGACACAGAGGUAAAGAACCCGGGGUCCCCCUGGGGUGGACCGUGUGCCCGUCGGCCCUGGGCUCUGAGCGCGCCCAGCAGGAAGGAGUCUAAAGCCCUGGGAGCAGGAUGAUAACUUUUACCUCCCUGGGAGGCCAGAAGAAUCCAGAAGCUAUGCUCCACUCCCGUCACCUCCUACGAGGCGACCUUGUAACAGGAAGGCACGAUUCGCCCACGCAUUCGUUCCCAAGUCAGGUUACGGGCGCUGCGGGCCCACUAAGUGCCCGGCAGAGGCUCCGAGAGCUGGGGCGGCCCAGACCCCCCCCUCCCCAGCUCUGCCCUGAACCGGAGUGAGAACUCACAACAUUAGAUGCAGACACAGCUCGUGGGGAGGCAAGGAGACGGGGAAAUGACAGAGGUGACGUUCUGGAAGAUUCUAGAACGUGUUUCUCUUUGGUAGAGCCCCAUGAACGCUGAUGCUUUUUCUCCACUGUGGAAAGAGCUUCAGAGUCGGGGGACGCGGGGGUUUGAGGGGAGCCACCUGCCCAGAGCUCUCCUUCUCAGGAAUCCCCUCCCCCAGGGAGCCCCCCUUGGAGUCCGGGCGAGGGUCUGAAGGCUCACGUACACCCGGUCUCGCUCGGGCGCCUGGAAAAUUCCAGACUCCGCAGCCCUCCUGCUCCCGUCGCAGCCCCCUCCUCUUCCGCGGCUGGCUGCGGUCUCCAUAGCAACGGAUGUCGCCAGCCGACAGCUCUCGAGGCUGACAAACGACCCAGCAGCCUGCUGCAGAGCGGAGGCGGGAGGGAGGAUGGGGCCAGGGCACCAGCUUGCGGGGGGGGGGGGCAUUAGUGGUCCGCUCACGACUUUGGCGCAAUUAAAAUGCGUCUUCAGACAGGGGUCUUUGCAGAAGGAAAGGGGGAGGGUCUCUGCGGGUUCUGCAGUCGCUAUUAGAAAUCCCAAAUCGCCGAAAGAGCUGUCAGCCUUGUCUGUUCUCCAACUUCUUCAUUCAUUCAUUAAACCACUUAUUUAUCCCACAGAUAUGGACUGGAUUAAACAGAUGGUGAACGUAGAUAAUUCUACAGAUAUGCUAAUUCUAUACCUGUUUCAGGCGCCAGGGUUUUUUCUAGAGACCCUGUGGAGGAUGGAGAAACAGCCGCAGGGCCUCCUCGAAGGUGUCGAAGACUGAGGCUUCGAUGCAGAGGCGGCGGCGCACAUGUGGAAAUAAGGUAUCCUAGGAUGGCAGGUACUGAGACGUUCCAGGAAGACAAAGCCACCAAUAUUCUUUUCCAUUUAGUUUUCUUCUUUUUUAAUGCUAGUACAUUUUCAACGGCGGUCACGUCCCAAGUCUGAACGUGAGCCUCUUAGGGAAAGUAUCGUGUGGACUUUCCUCCCCGUCCCAGGCCCCCUGCGCGGUUCCUGGGCUGUGGGACAUCAUCCUUAAGGAGAAAUCAUAAAGACGUUGCGUUGCCAGCAACCCCCACCUUUUAAAAAACAGAAUAGUGACUUUUGCACCCAUUUUUCUGCAUCUGGCUCUUCCUGACUUCAUGUGAAGACGGCAUAGCGUGGUUAAAAGCAAGGAGGGAACCCAACUGAGUCCCGGUUUCUCCCCCCCCCGGGGGGGGGGGUCUGGGCUUGACCCCUUGGGGCCUCAGCCUUCUCAGCACUCACAUGGGGUGGUGGUGAGGCUGAAGGGAAAGCCGCUGGACACAUUACAUGAAAUAGAUGAGUCUUGGAGCUCAUUCACCACCAGGACCUCAGCGCUUGUUCGUUUCACACGGAUUCGGGCAUCCAGUACAUGGCUGGCCCACCACAUCUCACCCUGGGGGCUGGAGGCCCGCCCACUCCUCUCUUAGCACACCCAGUCCUGCAGAGAGCUCCCACGCACAAGCCCACCUGACCGAUAUUCUCCCGAGGUGGACCUGCUGGGUGGCAGGGCACAAGCAUUCGAAGGUGGCAUUGAUAAUGCCACAUUGCCCUGGAAAGAUGGUGCCUUUUUACACGCCCACCAACUGUGGACAAGCGCUGAAGCGUCGCUGUAAUCCAGAGAGAAUUCGGCCUAAAAAUAUGGUUUCCAAUUUCUCUUGAAAGUUCAGAAGGCCAGAGAGCGCUGGGUUCAAAGUCACGGGUGGAGUUCCCAUCGUGGCGCACUGGUUAGCGAAUCCGACUAAGAGCUAUGAGGUUGCGGGUUCGAUCCC
Molecule: non-coding RNA, 7143 nt
Organism: Sus scrofa (pig)
Lineage: Eukaryota; Metazoa; Chordata; Mammalia; Artiodactyla; Suidae
Source: RefSeq, a predicted model, not a curated record